GGAAGGGGAGAAUAUUUCUUUUUUAAAAAUACUCAAUACAGGUUUUCAAAACAGCAAGGCAUAAAUAGUGAUGGAAAUAGAUAUCAAGGGUUUAUGUUAGUAGGAUUAAAGAAUUUAGACUGCAGGAAUAGUUAGUGAUCUUUUUUUAUAAUUCAGACGUGGAGUAUAGCAGAUAUCAUUUCUUUGUCAAAUGGAGCUGUAUGUCACAUAGAUUUCUUUUACCAGUGGAGCAAACAUCUCUUCUGUCACAAGCAAAAUAAAAAUAGAAAAUGCUUUGCACACUGUGAAGAAGAACCAUAGCUCAGUGGUAGAACAUGUGUUUAAAGGCAUGUUUUUUUUGUAUUCAGGCAGUUUGGAAGAAAAGUGCCUGGAGCCCUGGAAAGCCAGUCCUGAACUAGAUGCACUAAUGACUAAUGGAAGAAGGUGGCUUCCUGUUUUUCUUUUGCACACAGUUUUCUUCAUAAGUAUAAUAUAUCCUUUUUUUAAAAAAAGAGAGAUAGACUUAAUAAUGUAGGUUAUGCUGUAUCUCUUUAAUAUUUAUAGGCGCCUGAUCUGCUUUCGUUAGUUAUAGAUCUGCACUCUUCAGUUCAGAUGUAGAAAGCAAAUUCAGCCAGAGAUAAAGAGUAUAAUGAUAUGACCAGUUACUCCCAUUGAUCAGUGGAUUGCCAAGUGCUUUGCGAUGCUAAAGCAAAUGUCAAUACUAUACAGCAAAACAUAAGUACAAUUUGAAUAAUCCUGCAAAGUAACUCUCUGCAGAAGACAAUUGUCCAAUAGUAAGUUCCUUAGCGCUUGAAAAUCAUGAUCUGCCUAAUCUGUUGAAGGUCUUCCAUCAUACAGGAAAAAGCAACAACAUUUGCACAAGACUGACUGGCUUCACAUCAAAAUAAUAUCCAGCUUCUGGUGAAGUAAAUUUAAACUUCUGAUUGGACCCAAAUACUUCCACACUAGAGCUGAAGCAUUCUGGAAGCCACCUUCAUCUAAAUAUUCUGUAUGAUUGGUAUGUUCAUGUUUCCCCCCAAUCCUUGUGUCAGAUUCUGUGUCUUUCCAUGUUGGCCUCAGGUCACAGGAUAUUAAAUGGAACAGUCUACAGGCAGCCCAAAGAAAAAGUAAUUGUCGUUCUCUUUCUAUUUCAUCACUGCUUCUGUAAUUGAAAGUUAUCUGCUUAUAAUUGCAUCUUUAGUGAGCAGUAAUUAAAAUUCUUAUCAUUAGCGUUUUCUUUUAAUUAGUUUUUUUCCUCUGAUAAAAAAAUGUAUUUUGCACAACGCAUGUCUAACUUCAUAAUAAUAGGCAAAACUGGAAAGGUAAAGCAGAAAUGUUGUUCAAUGCAAAAUAAGGCUUUGUUACAGUAACCUGGUGACAGAGUAAUAAAAAAGAGAUACAACUGGUUAGACACAGUAGCACAUGAGCUAGAAACAGAAGCACACAAUAACUACCUUAAUUUAAUUUAUUGGCUAACAUCCAAUCUUGUGCAAGUGGAUUUGCACUCAUGCAACAGGACUUGUUCUUUGUUCCCUCCCUCAUGACUGUUCCUUGUGCCAACAAAUAUUUCCUGGAGGGUCCCAGAGGGGCAGGUUUUGGAGGUAUGUGUGGGGUGCUGGGAGGGGGCUACAGAUGAAGGGAGAACUAUUUCUAGCAAUAGUGUCAAUUUUGUUGGUGGACUGAUGCAGUUGGACUUCACCCAUUCUAUUUAUGCUGCUUUUCUGUUGAGACAAAGUGUCUUAAAAUAAAAUAAAACACUUAUAAAACCAGUUUCUUAUAUGGAUGAGACAGGGAUUGCACUGUAUUUGACAAGGCCUCUAUGGUCAGUCUUAAAAGCAGAUUCAUAUGAGAGCUUACAGUUUCUGAGUAUCCCUACCCUUUCAAAGAUCAAUAUCAACACUUUAAAUCAAGCAUAGAAACAAUUGCAUAUGAUCACAGUUAUAUGGCCUCAAAACCAGAUAGCCUGCCUCCUCUGCACUGAUGGGUAAAUAGAUAGAUUAUAGUUGCAGGCCAUAUAGUCCUCUACACUAGGAAUUCCAGAUGUUGAGGCUUAUGUGUGUCAUUUAUUCCCACUAUAUUCUGAUUUUGAGCCCUACCCUGACUAAAGCAGCCUCUCCUCCUUCAAUAUUCUGGCCUAGCAUGUUGUUUCAAGUUGUAUAUCCUGGCCAUCUGGUCAACAUUUACCAAUUAAGCUUCAACAGCAUGGAAAUCAAGCCUGGCCCAAAGCAGAGGCAGCUGAGGCCUCAUACCCAGAAGGGCCAACUUGCUCUGCUAAAUGCCUGUUGUGAUUCUGGCCUCUGUUCUAUGCCUGGCUUUCUCUCUAAUUGUGUCAAAGGAAGGCUAAAAUAUGACUAUAGACAAAGCAGGUUGUAAAGACAGCUUGAAUAGCAUGAUGUAGGGAACAUUGUCUUAGAUCUGAUUUCAAAACAUAAUGUCCAUUCCAUAUCUACUAAGUAUCUUGUGAGUAUGUUUAAGAAGUGGUACUUUUCAAUUAAAAUGGAAAGAGGGAAUAGGCAAAUAGCAAACAUGAGCAUAUCAACUUUUUUUUUUAAUGUAAGAAUUAUGCCUGUCAGUCUCCAUUGCUUUUAUUUGGCAACAACAACAAACAAACUCCACCUCAGUACAGGGGAGAGAAUUUUCAUUCAUCAGCUUUUGAGGAAAACAGAAAUGGAAGCUGAAGAUAGGAGACAUCUCUGUGAAUGAUGUGUAGAAGAGGAUUAAGUUCUGGAAUGGUGUCUGCGGUGUAUUGAGGACUUGGAAUAUUCUUUGGAGUGGGGAAUGGGCAUUUAUAAAAUAGGUGUUAGUUUGUGGGAAAAGUGAGCUAUUGCUAUGUUGCUGUUGCCAUUUUAAGGAUUGCAAACAUCCUUAUAUUUUUGGUGAUUUUGCUCAAGCUCAGCAGUGAAUAGAAGCACUGCUGAAAUGCUGAGCUCUCUGCAGAAACAUCCAUUAAUUUAAGAAUUUGUCAUGACUGAUUUAUAAACUUCUGUUCCCUGAAACAGUUAUCUAAUAUUAUCUUGAAAACUCCUUUGUAAAAUGGAAGUCAUGACCAGAAAAAAUGUGUCUUAAAUCAUUUGCUUUUCUGUUUGCUUUCAGUGAAACAAAGAAGGCAACAUUCUAUUUUCCAAUUUAUUAUGUGAGGAGACGUGGGGAAUGCUUUAUAUCCAUCAAAUUGUUCUUUUCUAUUUUCCACAGAGCUGGAAAUCCUUCUCUGCUACUGCCACUUCCCAUCCUGUUUAUCAUCACUAAAAUAUCAACCUUUUUUUCCCUUUUCUUCCCCUCCCCCAUACUGAAAUUUUGCAUAACAAAUGAGCAUAAGGAGGAGGAGGAGGUUAUAAGGGAGAUGCUAAAGUGAUAUGAAAUUUAAAACGUACCAAAUGCAAACAGGUUUUCUCAACAAAUACAGUGUUGUUGUUUAAAAAAGAAAUAACCAGAUUAAAACUGCAACUUUUAAAGUAAGAGAUUUAUUAGUAUGAACAGAGCUAUCAAAUUGCAACAAAAGGGCAAAACAGCAAUCAGAUUAUUUGAAAUGUGCAUUUGAAUCAAUGAGGUUUACAGGGAUUACUUAGGUUAUGUGAAAAUCCUGGAAGAAUGUGGUGACAUUUCUGUCAGUAUGUACUUGAUCAAUGCCAGGGUUGGCCAGCAUGGUGCUCCCAAAUGUUUGUUUGUUUAUUAUUUAUUCUGCAUUUUUUAUACCAGCGUUUUCUCCAAGGUAGGAAUACAGGGUAGCUCACCCCAAAGAGAAUUCAGUAUAGAAGAGAAUAUAAAAAUAUACAGUAGAAACAGUCUAAAAUCAAAUACACUUUAAACAUAAAUCAAAACCAAUCAGCAUCAUCUGCUCCGGAAUGACUUAAGACAUGAAGGCCUGUACAUAUGAAUGAUUUUAACAUAAAUCUUAUGUGGAAUACAGCCAAAUAUUACUCAGGAGAGAGUUCUGUAAAUGGGGUGCUGCUACCAAGAACAUCCUAUCUUGUGUUACUAUCUUGCCAGGGUUGAUGAGAUCACAAGUAGGGACUCUAGUGUUGCCUGCAGGGCUCAAAGUCAGGAGGUAUUGGGGAAGGCACUCUCUCAACAUGCUUGUCACAUAUCGAUCUAUAUGAUAUUUGAUUCCUAUGAUUUGGUGUUUUAGAAAUUCUAGUGAUCUGCAGUAACGUGGACCCCACUAAAUUUUGCUGAUGAUGGUAAAUUGUUAAAGGUUGUUAAAACAAAAAGAGAUUGCAGAAAGCUCCAAAAGGACCUUUCUAAAAUGAGUGAGUGGGCAGUAAAAUGGCAAAUGCAAUUCAAUGUAAACAAGUGUAAAGUGAUGCAUUUUGGAGCAAAGAAUCUUAAUUUCACACACAUGCUCCUGGGGUCUGAACUGGAGGUGGCAGAGCUGGAGCGAGACUUGGCAUCCUAGUAGAUAGUUCAAUAAAGAUAUCUACCCAGUGAGUGGCAGCCAUAAAAAAGGCGAAUUCCAGCCUGUUGUGAAGGAACAAAAACUUGUUAGUCAUUUGUGCUCUGUUUCGGCUGUAAAAUGUUUUAGAGACUUUGCUGACCAGGAGGGACAAAUGUUUAGUUCAGAAAGUUGAACUUUAAGGGGAAA
Molecule: long non-coding RNA, 4558 nt
Filed under: Podarcis lilfordi (Lilford's wall lizard)
Lineage: Eukaryota; Metazoa; Chordata; Lepidosauria; Squamata; Lacertidae
Source: RNAcentral